AUUGAACGCUGGCGGCAUGCCUAACACAUGCAAGUCGAACGGCAGCGCGGGGGCAACCCUGGCGGCGAGUGGCGGACGGGUGAGGAAUGCAUAGGAAUCUGCCCGGUUGUGGGGGAUAACGUAGGGAAACUUACGCUAAUACCGCAUACGACCUUCGGGUGAAAGUGGGGGACCUUCGGGCCUCACGCGAUCGGAUGAGCCUAUGCCCGAUUAGCUAGUUGGCGGGGUAAGAGCCCACCAAGGCGACGAUCGGUAGCUGGUCUGAGAGGAUGAUCAGCCACACUGGGACUGAGACACGCCCCAGACUCCUACGGGAGGCAGCAGUGGGGAAUAUUGGACAAUGGGCGCAAGCCUGAUCCAGCAAUGCCGCGUGUGUGAAGAAGGCCUUCGGGUUGUAAAGCACUUUUGUUCGGGAAGAAAUCCGUGUGGUUAAUACCCGUACGGGAUGACGGUACCGAAAGAAUAAGCACCGGCUAACUUCGUG
Molecule: ribosomal RNA, 484 nt
Filed under: uncultured bacterium
Lineage: Bacteria
Description: partial 16S ribosomal RNA
Rfam family: Bacterial small subunit ribosomal RNA
Source: RNAcentral